UCGAGAAUACUUCACAAUGGGCGAAAGCCUGAUGGUGCAACGCCGCGUGGAGGAUGACGGUCUUAGGAUUGUAAACUCCUGUCAUCCGGGAGAAAGACCUGGGGGUUAAUAGCUCACAGGGUUGAUAGUACCGGAAGAGGAAGGGACGGCUAACUUCGUGCCAGCAGCCGCGGUAAUACGAAGGUCCCGAGCGUUAUUCGGAAUCACUGGGCGUAAAGGGAGCGUAGGCGGCGUAGUAAGUCGGAUGUGAAAUCCCAGGGCUCAACCCUGGAACUGCAUCUGAUACUGCUAUGCUAGAGUAAUGGAGGGGUAGCUGGAAUUCUCGGUGUAGCAGUGAAAUGCGUAGAUAUCGAGAGGAACACUCGUGGCGAAAGCGAGCUACUGGACAUUUACUGACGCUGAGGCUCGAAGGCUAGGGGAGCGAAAG
RNAcentral lists this ribosomal RNA (427 nucleotides) under uncultured Verrucomicrobiaceae bacterium. RNAcentral's name for it is "bacterial SSU rRNA". It matches the Rfam family "Bacterial small subunit ribosomal RNA", at positions 355 to 774 of the family's 1533-position model. Lineage: Bacteria; Pseudomonadati; Verrucomicrobiota; Verrucomicrobiia; Verrucomicrobiales; Verrucomicrobiaceae. The record is from RNAcentral.